UCCGGGGAGAAACAUGAAAAAAGGAGGAGAGGUGGCUUGUGGAGACAUGUCACGUCUCAUGUCAUGAUUUCAGAAGUUACAGAUUUGUCGAUAGCCCUGCCUUCCAAAAGCGGGUCCCGGUUCUCCCCACUUUCUGUGGGGGCCGGACCUAGUUACUCGCUCCUAAUGAGCAGGAUAUGAGCGCAGGUAUGUAGCUUCUGACUCGAGGUCAGGAAAGGCACCGUGGCUUCCUCUUUGCUUUCUCUUGGAUCUUUUGCUUUAGGGGAAAUCAGCUGUCACGGCACGAGGACCCUCAAGCAGCUUGGAGGUCUCCCGACAACACCCGGCAUCUGCCGGGCAGGAGAGUAAGCCACCUUGGCAGCAAACCCUCCCGACCCAGUCGAGCUUUCAACUGAUUGCAUUCUUGGCCUCCUUGUCUGUAACCUCACGAGACCUCCAGAGUGAGAACAAGCUGAAUAUUGAUUUGUAAAACAGUUACUAUGGAAUAAGCUGAAGUACUCCCAAGCUUCCAUAAACCUAGCUUGUAAUUUCUCCCUCAUGCGUUCCCUCAUGGAAAAUUCUGCAAAGCUUGUCCUGGAAGCUGAAGGAAUUGGAGGGCAAACCUCGGUCCUGCCAGGAGCGCCACAUCGACUUAACCAAGAGUAAAACGAAUGACAUUCGACGGUUCAAGGCACAGACACACCAAUUCAAUUACCAGUGGGAACAGACCUUCCAAUUUGUUGAACUGAGAAACAGGCUUGUAGGUGAACAUACAGCUAAUGAGUUCGGGUUCAGCUUUCAACAGCGUGGAUCACUUCAAUCAGAGAAACCUUUCUACAGUCCCAAGCCAUUGCCCUAGGCUGCAUCGUAGACACGACAUGUAUU
Molecule: long non-coding RNA, 864 nt
Organism: Callorhinus ursinus (northern fur seal)
Lineage: Eukaryota; Metazoa; Chordata; Mammalia; Carnivora; Otariidae
Source: RefSeq, a predicted model, not a curated record